Molecule: transfer RNA, 75 nt
Filed under: Escherichia coli
Lineage: Bacteria; Pseudomonadati; Pseudomonadota; Gammaproteobacteria; Enterobacterales; Enterobacteriaceae
Description: tRNA-His
Rfam family: tRNA
About the family: Transfer RNA (tRNA) molecules are approximately 80 nucleotides in length. Their secondary structure includes four short double-helical elements and three loops (D, anti-codon, and T loops).
Source: RNAcentral
GGUGGCUAUAGCUCAGUUGGUAGAGCCACGGAUUGUGAUUCCAGUUGUCGUGGGUUCGAAUCCAUUAGCCACCCC